UACCUGGUUGAUCCUUCUAGUAGUCAUAUGCUUGUCUCAAAGAUUAAGCCAUGCAUGUGUAAGUAUGAAAAAAUUCAGACUGUGAAACUGGGAAUGGCUCAUUAAAUCAGUUAUAGUUUGUUUGAUGGUAUUUGCUACUCGGAUAACCGUAGUAAUUCUAGAGGUAAUACGUGCAACAAACCCUGACUUCUCGAAGGGAUAGAAUUAUUAGAUAAAAGGUCGACGCGGGCUUUGCCCGUUGCACUGAUGAUUCAUGAUAACUCGACGGAUUGCACGACCUUUGUGCCGGUGACGCAUCAUUCAAAUUUCUGCCCUAUCAACUUUCGAUGGUAGGAUAGUGGCUUACUAUGGUGGUGACGGGUGAUGGAGAAUUAGGGUUCGAUUCUAGAGAGGGAGCCUAAGAAACGGCUACCACAUCUAAGGAAGGCAGCAGACGUGCAAAUUAUCCAAUCCGGACAUGGGGAGGUAGUGACAAUAAACAACAAUACCGAGCUCUAUGAGUCUGGUAAUUGGAAUGAGUACAAUCUAAAUCCCUUAACGAGGAUCCAUUGGAGGGUAAGUCUGGUGCCAACAGCCGCGGAAAUUCCAGCUCCAAUAGCGUAUAUUUAAGUUGUUGCAGUUAAAAAGCUCGUAGUUGGACUUUAGGGUGGUUCAGCCGGUGAGUAGGAGGGGGCGGCGGUCGCUGCAAAACCAGGGGCGCGAGUCCGGGCGGAGCGGCCGUUGGUGUAGAUCUUGG
RNAcentral lists this non-coding RNA (736 nucleotides) under Gossypium arboreum. RNAcentral describes it as "Eukaryotic small subunit ribosomal RNA". It matches the Rfam family "Eukaryotic small subunit ribosomal RNA", at positions 1 to 1028 of the family's 1831-position model. The record is from Rfam by way of RNAcentral. Lineage: Eukaryota; Viridiplantae; Streptophyta; Magnoliopsida; Malvales; Malvaceae.